This 305-nucleotide ribosomal RNA is filed under the name uncultured bacterium. RNAcentral describes it as "bacterial SSU rRNA". It matches the Rfam family "Bacterial small subunit ribosomal RNA", at positions 331 to 636 of the family's 1533-position model. The record is from RNAcentral.
UUUGACCUACGGGGGGCAGCAGUGAGGAAUAUUGGUCAAUGGCCGAGAGGCUGAACCAGCCACGUCGCGUGAGGGAUGACGGCCCUACGGGUUGUAAACCUCUUUUGUCGGAGAACAAAACCCGGGACGAGUCCCGGACUGCGUGUAUCCGAAGAAAAAGCAUCGGCUAACUCCGUGCCAGCAGCCGCGGUAAUACGGAGGAUGCGAGCGUUAUCCGGAUUUAUUGGGUUUAAAGGGUGCGUAGGCGGUCCGUUAAGUCAGCGGUAAAAUUGCGGGGCUCAACCCCGUCGAGCCGUUGAAACUGG